UUGGGAGUAAGUUAAGGGGGGUGUCUUUAGCGUGGAUGAGGUUUUUAAAUAUUUUGCCAGUUAGAAAAUCUCGCUUGUUUUCCAAGGUGUGUAUGUUGGCUUCGGAUAGAAGGUUGUUAGUGGGUGUGGUGCGGAAUGCACCCAGGGCGGCUCUUGUUGCUGCGUUUAUCGUAGAUUUCAGCCGGUUAAGCUGGCUUUUUGGUGCGUAACCGUAUAUGGGGAGGCAGAAGUCGACUUUGGAUAUGAUUAGGGAUUUGAUAAUUUGUACAAGUGAUGAGGUGUGGCAGUUGUAUUUUAGGGACGAGAGGUGUUUGAUAAUGCCUAGUGGCUUAGCAAGGUCAACUUUGAGUUUGUUGAUGUGAGAGAUCCAGUUGUAUUUGGUGUUGAUUGUGAGGCCAAGGAUUCUGAGUGUGUCGGUAGCUUGGAUGGUUGUGCCACCGGUGAGUAUCUUGGGUUUGCAGUUGUGUUUGCGGCAUAUAUGAAGGAGUUGGGAUUUUUCUUUAGAGAGGAUUGAGCCUGAGUGAUUGCACCAGUCGUCUAUUUGGUUAAAUAUUGUUUGGAUGUUAGUUGUGGGACUUUUUUGUUUGUUGUGAUUGGUGAGUAGGUGGAAGUCGUCGGCGUACGCGCAAAAUUUGAUUUGUUUGUGGAGGGAGAUGAUAUCGGUGAGUGAGUUGUAAGCUAUGAGGAAAAGGAGGACGGAGAUUGGGGAGCCUUGGGGAAUGCCAUUAUUUAGAGGGAAGAUAUUUGAUAAGCUUCUGCCGGUUUUGACGAGGAUUUUCCUGUUGGACAUAAAGUUCUUAACAUAAUUAUAAUAAUUAAUUAAGUAUUCGUGGCCCUACUUUCCACUUUUUUAGUUGGUUUAUUACUGUGUGAAUACCAAUUCUGUCGAAGGCUUUGGUGAAGUCUAGCGAGAUGACUGUGAGGUGUUUUUUCAGGGCGAUAGCUCUGGUAGCUAGGUGGUCUACAUAAAGUAGACUGUCUAGUACAGAUUUGCCUCUUUUGAACCCUAGUUGGUUGUUGUGGAUCAGGUUGUUAUUUAAAACAAACCACCACAACCUUUUUGCGACGAUCUUGUCCAGAGUUUUGGCUAGGCAUGAGUUUAGGGAGAUGGGUCUGUAAGAUUUGAUAUCGGUUUGUGGCUUUUGUGGUUUUAAGAUGGGAAGGACUAGGCUGAGUUUAAGGGAUUGUGGGAUGGAGGAGUCGAGUAUCUUGUUGUAGAGGGUUAGGAUUCUGGUUUUGAGGGGGUAGGGUGAGUUCUUUAGCAUAGGGUAAGAGAUUCGGUCUAGACCAGGAGUGUUGCCUUUCAAGGUGGACAGUGCUGAUGUGAAUUCGAUUAAUGUUAUGUCUUUCUCGAUUUCUAGGGCUGAAGGUGUUGGGUUAUAGUUAGAAGGGGUAUUAAUGAGGAGUUUGUUGGACAGGAAUGUUGGGGAGAAGUUGAGGUCGUCUGCUUCUUCUGACCAUGUCUGGGCAAAGGAGUUAGCUAUUUCGGAUUGACAGGUUGUUUGUGAUUGGGUGUACGGGUUGUGAAUGGCAUGGAUAUUUUUAGUAGGGUUAAGACCGCAGAGACGUCUGAUGUUGGACCAUGUUGUGGUUGGAUCUGAGUUUGGGUGUAUAUGGGUUGUGAACUCAAGGAUCGAUUUACGUUUGGCUUCUCUAAUUGCUCUUUUUAAACACGCUUUUGCUUUUUUAUAUUCUAUGAUGUUAUGGUUGCUAAUGUUGUGCUUGAGGUAGUUCCAUUUUACGACUUUGUCUCUUUUGAGGAGUGAAAGUUGUUUGUUCCACCAGGGAACAGUGCGGGUGAGAGAGAAGGUGGUGUUUUGUGGGAUAGAAAGGUGGGCACUUUGGAUAAGUAUUUUUUUUAUUAGGGCGGCUUCUUUAUUGACAUUGUUAUCUGAUUGGGUUGUGGAGAUGGAGCGGGCUGCAUGUUUCCUGAAGAGAUCCAAGUCUGCGUUUUUGAGAUUGAAAGUAGGUUUAGUGGUGAAGGCGGAGGGGGGAUAGGGAGAUGGAGUGUUGAAUAGUGUAAGUAAGAUGGGAAAGUGGUCAGAACCGUAAAGGUCAUCUAUCACUUGCCAGAGGAUCUCUGGAGCAAUUCUGGAUGUUGCAAGUGAGAGAUCGAUGUGGGUAAAUGUGUUGUGUGUUGAGAAGUGGGUCGGAGUAUUAUCAUUAAGUAGGAUGAAGUUCGAGCGGUCUAGGAAUGAGGCUAAUGUUUUCCCGCUGCAGUUGGCCUUAGGU
Molecule: long non-coding RNA, 2232 nt
Organism: Drosophila pseudoobscura
Lineage: Eukaryota; Metazoa; Arthropoda; Insecta; Diptera; Drosophilidae
Exons: 3
Source: RefSeq, a predicted model, not a curated record